This is a long non-coding RNA of Triticum dicoccoides, 2295 nucleotides long. RefSeq lists it as uncharacterized. NCBI's taxonomy places the organism in Eukaryota, Viridiplantae, Streptophyta, Magnoliopsida, Poales, Poaceae. The transcript has 2 exons. The record is from RefSeq and is a predicted model, not a curated record.
UUUACCUCCUCCGUCCAAACAUUGUUAAAAAAACAAUUUUCCUUAUCCAUCUCUUCCCCCCUCCCCCGAUUCCUCUCCUACCAGGAUUCCAUAACCACGAUGCCGCGUGCGCCGCCGCCGUCGCCUCCUAUGAUUUGGGCGAGCUCCGGCGCUCUCUCGCGGCAUAGCUCGCCGACCCUGCUCCUCCCGCCGAUCCUCCACCACCGCGACGUCCUCAACACCCUGCCCGUGCCCCUGCAUCAACCUAGUCGCCACGGGUCGUGGUCGCAGCUCCUGCCCCUCCGGUUGGUCGGCUCACUACCCCCCGCAUCUCCGAACGCGCGGUCGCUGCCACAGGCUGGAUGGCGCUGUUCCGCCACGUCUACAUCGUCUCCGGCGCCGAUAGUUUUGUGAGACACUUCUCCCCUAUGUUCUUAUCGUCUCUGGUGCUUUAUGUGGCAUGGCUACCAAGGGUUUGUCGUCGUGGCGUCGUAGAUGAUGGCUGGAUAUACCAAUAACUAUGGCCGCUCUCUCCCAGGGAGGCUGCCAUGGUCGCCUACUGCCUACCUCAUCGCUCACCUGGAUUAUCUCCCUGAAGAACGUGACAAUUCUAUUAUUUCCACUAAUCUGUUCCCCCCGAUUUAACAACAGGGUGGCUUCUAUAAUUCCAUUGGAAUUUGGUUCCCUAUCUUCUCUAACCUUCCACUCGUGCUAUGGGUGGACCAUUUACUUUAGUUAAAUUAUGGCUAGUGUUCUCUUCUUUUUGUUGUUGAAGGAAACCUGAUCCUCUAAUUUUGCUAUGCAGGUUUCUGCUGGUGAUCUUCUGCUUUAGUAGUUCAGACCAUAGUCAUAUUUGUAUAUCCAUAUGUACUUAUUUCUCUAGAUGUAUAUCAUACUCUAGAGUGCUAGAUUACACUGCAGAACAAAGUAAUUAUUUUGCCUCAGAUGACUAUUGUCCACCAAUCUUGUUUAUAUCAAUGCUUGCAUCCUCUGAGGCUUAUCAGGAGAGAAUCUAGUUUUCCAUGGAAACAAGGGUGAUCGCGCAUUAUUUAUUCACUCAUGUUACCAAAGCUUCUGUCGUCAAGAAGGCAGUAAUAUUCCAAGUGCAUAACUACUUCUUAUUCAGUAAUAUUAAGCAUGAUUAUACAUACCUACAUAUUAAAAAGGUAUAUGAAUCAUAGUCUAGACAUCUCACACUUGCUAGCAUGCGUAAGUGUGUAUGUAAAUUUGAUCGAUUUGAUGAUUUUGUUUAACUUUAGGUACUUCUAAAUUCUCAUAUGUUUGUAUUUAUUCACAUAUUAUGAUGAACUGCAAUCUUCUUUAGAUCAGAAGGAUGCAUCACAACAAAAAAUGCUUCACGAGAUGCCACUUCACAUCUUUUAUUCUCACCAGUAUGUGAAUUUUAAGUUGUUACUUAGUGAACUAUAGUCUUGCAGGUUUACACAUAAUAUUAAAGAUAUAAAUCUACCCGAGGUAAUCAGAUUGCGCAUUUGAAUGAGUGCUGCAAGCUGGGAAGGUAAAUAUGACCAGCGAUGAUGGCAGUACGUCAAUGACGUCAUGUAGGUGUGGUGUUCAUUGAUCCCUUCCCUCUUUUUGUUUGUGCAGGCGGUGUGUGUAUAUGGAUUCAUCUUUAUAUGUCAUGUUAAUUGUUCAUUUAGAUUGAUCUCUCUCCCCCAAAACGUUUACCCCAUGUAUUUGAUAUCAUUUUUGAAAAUAUUGAUUAGUUUGGUGCCAACUCUUUCUAGAUUAUUUCAGAUGUGAUUUCUUGAUUAGAAAAAUAAUAUCACUAGAGGUAAUUUCUAUUGUAAUUUGUGUAUGUGUUUUUCAUGUUGUGCAAUAGUAUUUUUUUCUCUUUCUCAAGAAUCUUUCUCUUUCUCUUUCUCUUUCUCUUUCUCAAGAAUCUUGAUUAUUGAUGCAUAUGAUUGUAGGAUAAUUAACUGUAACAACUACUCUGUGCAUGUGCCUAUGCUCUGACUUCGGAAGUGCAAACCAAUAAAAAGAGAGAUGAAGCAUAUGCAGUUUACUAUAGCUGCAAUUGGCAUGAACUAUCUUCAGUAUAUGGAGUUAUGGAUGCCAGGAGAAACUAAUGAUUUUGGUUUUAGUUAAUGAAGGCUGAACAUGUCAGUCUAGAUGCUCAUGUGAUGAGCUUAGUUUCUUUCUUUCCUUCAAGGAAGCUUCGACCUGUUUCUGUAUAGAGUGCACAUGUUCUUGUAAAAUACAUGUGUACAAGCUGAUAGCGUUCUUUGUAAAGCAACAAUGUGUUCUUUGUAAAACAACAUUGUUGAUUUAAUAUAUGAGGUCUUUCUUACUAUAUUA